ACAAUAAUUAGCCUGUGCCUAUGUUAUCUCCUAACAUAUACCUAAGCUCUCCGUCUGUGCCGAUUGGGAAUUAUUGAGAUUUCUCUUUGCAUAGCUACCAGAAGACUUACAACUUUCAGACAGGUUGCUCACGUCACAACUUCGUCGUCAAACUCAUUUGGAGGCUGCGCAGUAACGCCCAGCCGUCACCAGAAAAGUGCUGCUAAUAUCCUCCACUGUUCUCCGCCCAGAGCAACGGGAUAUAUUGGUCCAUUUUAUAUAUAUCUAAGGUGAAU
Etheostoma cragini (Arkansas darter) is the source of this 275-nucleotide long non-coding RNA. RefSeq lists it as uncharacterized. Lineage: Eukaryota; Metazoa; Chordata; Actinopteri; Perciformes; Percidae. The record is from RefSeq and is a predicted model, not a curated record. The transcript is spliced from 3 exons.